Molecule: long non-coding RNA, 4450 nt
Organism: Pan troglodytes (chimpanzee)
Lineage: Eukaryota; Metazoa; Chordata; Mammalia; Primates; Hominidae
Exons: 3
Source: RefSeq, a predicted model, not a curated record
GGCCGAAAGGGAGCCGCCUACCUCCCUUGCCAAAUCCCUGGGGCUGAUAGAGAUGGCGGGCGGAAGGCCGGCCAAUAAGGCUCCCGGAACCAGGCUGGGCGGGACCCCGGGGGUGCCUUCCUGGGUUGGGUGGACCAGUCCCCGGUUCGCCGGGUCCUGCGCAGCAAUGCGUCUGCUUGCUGGUGGAAUUCGCCAGCCGCCAGCCUCGCUGGCCCAGGUGCUUGACAGCAUCAAAGGUCAAAGUGUGUUCUUCAUGCUAAAAUCUAUGACAAAACCGAACGCUUCUUUUUCCGAAAGUGCUCAGAUCUAUUCUGCUGAAUAUCGGUUCGUACGAACGACAGCCGCAUUACAGUUUAUUGUCACAUCAAAAGGGAAAGGCCAAAAAAUAUAUAACUUAGGCAGGAUUUUUGAAACUUUAUUGAAACUCGAAAGACAAACUGCUGUCUCUUCCUCCAGUGAUGUUCUUCCUCCCUCAAUCUCUACCUUCCCCAAAAUGAUGUACAUACAGCCCUUAGAUGAGAAAACGUUUAUUGAAGAUGGUUGUCUCAACUUCCAAACCUUCAGCCUUGUCUCUCCGCUCAACCUUUUUUUAAAAAUAAAACUUCAUCUGAUUUUAAUCGACUAUUGCCAUCAUCGUCGAUAAAUGUUUCUUGACAGAAUACUGCUGAUUCUGAGAAUUGGGAAAGAAAGAAAUUGUCCAGAUAGUUCUCUGAUAUACUUGGGAAGGACAUACAUCUUUAUUUAUUUAUUCAUUUAUUUAUUUAUUCAAUAAUGGUGUAAUGUGACAUGUGCUAAAUUUCUAAAUGAAAGGUGUCAAUAAUAAGGGCUACAGGAUCCGGGAGCAGGGAGUCAUUUCGGACGGCAGAAGAUGCGUCAGGAGGAAAUAUUCAGACUGAAAGGACUGCAAUAAGUAAAAAGUGGGACGAUGAAAGGGCAGAUGUCUGAAUGGAAUGCUGCCAGGCUUCUUCCAGGAACAACAAAUGAGUGCCUUUUACAUUUGGCAUGUGUUGACUGAAUAAAAGUAUACCACUCUUAAACUUUCAAAUAUCAACACCAAUCCUUGAUGCUUCCCUUUAAGCAUUUUCCGCAAAAGCUGUCUUCCUGAAUCCUGAUUGAUGUCUUUGUUCUUCAUCAUCAUCGAGAUACUUAAAAAUUCAUUUGAAGAAGCCACCUGAUAUCUGGAACAAAGAGCAUAUUAAAUUAGUCCCAAUGCAGCCAUGCAUCCAGGGGGCCCUUGAUUAAUGUUAAUUGGUGAUGACAGCAUCUCUGUCGUGUAAAUUAAGAAUGGCACAAACAAGACACAGUGGAACAUAGAACAAAAGUCAUCUGCAGGAAGGCAGCCCAUCUUACAGAGUAAGAAAGGCACAACUUUGGUUGUGCACACAGCUUUGUUACCACAAAAUGCUAAGGUGAGAUCAGCAAAAGCAAGUGUGUAGAAUGUAGCCUGCCUACUAAACAAGGGCAAUGAUCACUGCAGAAGAGCUCUGCUGAGCAGGGAGUAAAUGACAGGAAAACCAAACAGCAGAUUGUAAAAAUAACUCAGUCACAUCCCAGGCUUGCUAGAGAAGUAUCAUAAAGACUUAAGGAAGAAGAUUUUACUUUGCUAUUGUUAAACAAAAGCCUACCCAAGUUUAAGAGGCAAAGAUAUAGGAAUGGGGAAAAAAAAAGUGACUACCUUAGUAAAUGAGUUUUGUAGCCUGUGUUUUACCAGCUCUUAUCUUCUCUGCUACUGCAGGAAACAGUACCCAGUACCCUACAAAGUUCCACCCAUGUUUUGGGGAGUCCCUAGGAGGUAUUUCACAUGUGCUCGCAGCAACCACAUAGCGUAUGCCGGGCAGCACUGCCCCUUGUUCCAAUAGCCAUGCAUCUGUAGGUGUCACUCUUGCUGCUGGCUAUCACAGCCACUUUAGCUUGGUACUGAGUCUCCACUGGGCACAGCAACUGGGUACAGCCACUCCUCAAACUGCCUGGCAUUGGUGGUAAUCUAUGGCAAAGCACCUCUCCUUUUUGCGUUACCCUCUUUGAAGUGAGUAACACUAUGUCUUAGAGAGCCUUCUUUUCAUUUGUGUUUUAGCCUUUCUCAUCGCCAAAGGGCUCAAAAUGAAGCCCGUGCAGUCUAAGCCAAAAAGUAAUUCCUCAAGUGACAGAUCUCAUGCUAUGCUUCUCUCUUCCACUAGCUAAGGCCCUCUUACUGGGACAAUGGUAUCACACCUGGCUCACUCUUCCCUUUGUUGAUUUCUCUAUUUCUCAUAGGAAUAGAUUUCUGUCUAUUGCUCGUGAGAGACUGAAUUUGCACAACCUCUAUGAAGGGCAUUUUGGCAAUUUGAUCCAGGAGUUCCUCUUCUAUAAAUUUAUCUUACAGAUAGACUCACACAUAUGUGAAAAAAAUAUUCAUUUAAAGUUGUUUAAUGUACUGUUUCUAGUUACAAAAGGUUGAAAACUACCUAAAUGUCCAUUUAGAGAGAACUAGUCAAAUACAUUACGGUUCAUCCAAAUCCAAAGAGUAGCGCAGGUUGUUCUGCUCCUUUGGGCCUUCUGAUCCUGCAUGGAUAUGUUAGGUCCAGCUAGGAAAACAGACCCUACACAAGGCAUUUCAACAAAGAGAACUUAAUAUAAGCUAUUGGUUCAUUAGCUAUUGAAGAACUUAAAGCCAAAAGGAUAAAGAAGAGGAACUCCAGGAAGCAGCUCAUACUGUAAGGCUGAGAGAACAAAAGGAAAAUGUUGAGGUUACUAGAAUGCGGAGGUUUGUAGGAGAGGCCUCCUGGAGUUGGUCAGACCGCUGAGAAAGGGCCACUGCCCCACUGGUGGGGUGCCUCUGAGGGGACAAAAUGAGACUCUCUGGGAACGUCUGGAAAAGAGACAAGCUGGAGACUGCAAUGAACUGCCACUGUGGGGUAGAAGAUCACUGUUCAGGUGCUGCGGGGAGGAACAGCAAGCAAAACAGAGCAUCCCAGUCUUUCCCUAGCUUCCUUUCUUGGCAAACAUAACAGGGAGCUGGCCAUGUGAUUUGCAGAGUCUGAAGGGUGAGACUAGAACUGACAUGCAACAGCUUAUUAACUUGCACACUUCCAUACAACCCCUAACAAGCAAGAAGCACCUCUUUAUGAGCUAACAUAGAAGACUCUCAAAGAAAAGAAGCAAGGCUUAGAAGACUGUUUAUGGUAUACCAUCAGUUGAAAUAAAAGAAAGACGAGUGAAUAAAAGAAAGAAAAAACUGUCCUAUGAUGUCGCAUAAUGAUGUCAUUCACAGGCACUUACUCCCUCACUCAUGAGUCCAACUCCAUUAGCGGCAGCUAUAAAGAAAAGAGCAUUUUAUUCAGUUUACUGCUGAAUCCAAGCCAGAUGUUCCUUGAGAAGAUUCAACUAACAUUGCUGAAGAUCGGUUCCCAAAAAGGUAUUAGCUGAUUUUUCCUCCUAUGAAUGAAUUUCUGAUUGCACAACUAAAAAAAAUGACAAUUAAAUCCAUGGAUUCUGUCUGAGAAGCAAAAUUGCUGAUACUUCACAUUAAUGUCAGUAAGAAUCGAAUAAAUAGGUUCUAUGAUUAAGACUUAGCAAUGAGCCAAGUGCAAUUUGCCCUCCAGACUUUUAGCCGUGAAAUGCCUUUGUUGACAAGGGAGUGUCUGGCUUUUGAAUCAGUGGGGCACCUUUUGGAGGGACUCCAGGUUCUCUUGACAACAGGACUUUUUUUUUUCUCUCUUUUUGGUGAGCCGAAAGGACUCCUCACCAUACAAGGCCACGGCUGAGUAAAGUAAUUCUCAGUAAGGCAUAAACCACUGGCAAGCCUCACAUACCAUAAUAAUAAUGUUGUACUGCAGCUGAACAAGGUCCAGGGAAUACAUUUGGGGCACAAAAUUUCUUUCAUUUUAAUACCUUCACUGUAUGAUUCUGUUCUAAGAAUUCCCUUUCCUUUUCUUCAUUGAUUAUUUAUUGUCCUAAAUCACCAUCUCUUUGAAAAGUCCUCACAGGGACGCAGAUAUUUUCCAGAAUUGCUAAUUGCUGAUUUGAAAGCAUGAAUUCUCUCAUCUCAUCAAAUCGGAUUCUGUGUCUUAAGGUCAGAUCAGCCUUUCUAAGAAUCUUGUAAAUCUCUACCUUUAUGCCAAAAUAAAUUUUGAAAUAUUUCUUUUAUCACGGGUAAUGUACAUGCACCUGUAAUCCCAGCACUUUGGGAGGCUGAGGCGGGCGGAUCAUGAGGUCAGGAGUUUGAGACCAGCCUGGCCAAUUUGGUGAAACCCCUUCUGUACUAAAAAUACAAAAAUUAGCCGGGCAUGGUGGCACACGCCUGUAAGUUUCAGCUACUCGGGAGGCUGAGGCAGAAGAACCGCUUGAACCCGGGAGGCAGAGAUUGCAGUGUGCCGAGAUUGCACCACUGUACUCCAGCCUGGGCGACAGAGCGAGACUCCAUCUCGAAUAAAUAAAUAAAUAAAUAAAUAAAAUAACUGCAGAUUAAGUC